RNAcentral lists this ribosomal RNA (1823 nucleotides) under human gut metagenome. Its description in RNAcentral is "bacterial LSU rRNA". It matches the Rfam family "Bacterial large subunit ribosomal RNA", at positions 953 to 2829 of the family's 2925-position model. The record is from RNAcentral.
ACUACGAAUACCAAAUGUGUAAGAACAAGAGUCAGACUGCGGGAGCUAAGUUCCGUGGUCAAAAGGGAAAGAGCCCAGAUCGUCAAUUAAGGUCCCAAAGAUAUAGUUAAGUGGAAAACGAUGUGAUUUUGCGUAAACAACCAGGAUGUUGGCUUAGAAGCAGCCAUUCAUUCAAAGAGUGCGUAAUAGCUCACUGGUCGAGUGAAGUUGCGCGGAAAAUUACCGGGGCUAAACUAUACACCGAAAUUGCGGAUUUGCAUAGAAAUAUGUAAGUGGUAGAGGAGCAUUCUAUAGUAGGACGAAGCAUAAUCGAAAGGAUAUGUGGACGAGAUAGAAGAGAGAAUGCCGGAAUAAGUAGCGAAAGCAUGGUGAGAAUCCAUGCCAUCGAAAGUCUAAGGUUUCCUGGGGAAGGUUCGUCCGCCCAGGGUAAGUCGGGACCUAAGGAGAGGCCGAAAAGCGUAUCCGAUGGACAGCAGGUAGAAAUUCCUGCACUACGUAAUACUUAAAAGACAUAAAUGACACAGGAGUGGAAGAUAAGCGAGGAAGAGGAAAAACUCGUAUCGAAAGAUAUAGUGAAAUUAAAGUAACGAAUUAUCAAGAAGCUAAUGGCGAGAAAAGUUUAUGGAUAUUGUAUUAAGUACCCGUACCGCAAACCGACACAGGUAGAUGAGGAGAAGAUCCUAAGAUGAGCGAGAGAAGCAUUGUUAAGGAACUCGGCAAACUGACCCCGUAACUUCGGAAUAAGGGGUGCUGGAGUAGAAUCCAGUCGCAGAGAAUAGUCCCAAGCAACUGUUUAACAAAAACACAGGUUUCUGCUAAAUCGAAAGAUGAAGUAUAGGAGCUGACACCUGCCCAGUGCUGGAAGGUUAAGGGAAAGAGUUAGGAGUAAUCCGAAGCUUAGAACUAAAGCCCCAGUGAACGGCGGCCGUAACUAUAACGGUCCUAAGGUAGCGAAAUUCCUUGUCAGGUAAGUUCUGACCCGCACGAAAGGUGUAAUGAUUUGGGAGCUGUCUCGACAAUGUACUCGGCGAAAUUGUAGUACUAGUGAAGAUGCUAGUUACCUGCGACAAGACAGAAAGACCCCAUGGAGCUUUACUGCAGCUUGAUACUGGGUUUCGGUAAUUUAUGUACAGGAUAGGUGGGAUGCUAAGAAGUAUGUGCGCCAGCGCAUAUGGAGCAGACGUUGGGAUACCACCCUUAAAUUACUGGAAUUCUAACUAUAAGUCCUAAGCGGGCUUGAGGACAAUGUCAGGCGGGCAGUUUGACUGGGGCGGUCGCCUCCUAAAGAGUAACGGAGGCGCGCAAAGGUUUCCUCAGCGCGGACAGAAAUCGCGCGAAAGAGUGCAAAGGCAGAAGGAAGCUUAACUGAGAGACAGACAUGUCGACCAGAUACGAAAGUAGGUCUUAGUGAUCCGGUGGUUGUAAGUGGAAAUGCCAUCGCUCAACGGACAAAAGUUACCCUGGGGAUAACAGGCUUAUCUCCCCCAAGAGUUCACAUCGACGGGGAGGUUUGGCACCUCGAUGUCGGCUCAUCACAUCCUGGAGCGGAAGUACGUUCCAAGGGUUGGGCUGUUCGCCCAUUAAAGUGGUACGCGAGCUGGGUUCAGAACGUCGUGAGACAGUUCGGUCCUUAUCUGUCGCAGGCGAAGGAUAUUUGAAGGGAGUUGACCUUAGUACGAGAGGACCAGGUUGAAGGAACCGAUGGUGCACCAGUUGUACUACCAAGUGCAUAGCUGGAUAGCUAAGUUCCGAAGGGAUAAACGCUGAAAGCAUCUAAGUGUGAAGCCCACCCUAAGAUAAGAUAUCCCAUAUCGAAAGAUAGU